AACGAACGCUGGCGGCAUGCCUAACACAUGCAAGUCGAACGGGACCUUCGGGUCUAGUGGCGCACGGGUGCGUAACGCGUGGGGAUCUGCCCUUAGGUACGGAAUAACUCAGGGAAACUUGAGCUAAUAUCGUAUAAUGACUUCGGUCCAAAGAUUUAUCGCCUAGGGAUGAACCCGCGUAGGAUUAGCUUGUUGGUUGAGGUAAAGGCUCACCAAGGCGACGAUCCUUAGCUGGUCUGAGAGGAUGAUCAGCCACACUGGGACUGAGACACGGCCCAGACUCCUACGGGAGGCAGCAGUGGGGAAUAUUGGACAAUGGGGCGAAAGCCUGAUCCAGCAAUGCCGCGUGAGUGAUGAAGG
RNAcentral lists this ribosomal RNA (360 nucleotides) under uncultured bacterium. RNAcentral's name for it is "bacterial SSU rRNA". It matches the Rfam family "Bacterial small subunit ribosomal RNA", at positions 29 to 414 of the family's 1533-position model. The record is from RNAcentral.